Long non-coding RNA from Octodon degus (degu), 664 nucleotides. RefSeq lists it as uncharacterized. The transcript has 2 exons. The record is from RefSeq and is a predicted model, not a curated record. Lineage: Eukaryota; Metazoa; Chordata; Mammalia; Rodentia; Octodontidae.
CCAGAACUCCGCCUCAGAGUCUCGACCCCGAAUUCUGCUAGAUGAUCCCCGAUUCUAUUCAGACCUGAUCACCGCCUGCCGCUCACUGCCUUCCUGUGUGAAUCUUCACCAGCAUUGGAAACCCUCACCCAAGUAAAGCCCCGGACCCCAAGCCCUGAGCCCUGGCACCUUCUGUUCCCAGCCUCAUUUGCUGUUCUCAAUUAGGGGACCUUCUUGGCCUUAUUACAAUUUCACCACCCUCUCUACCCGUUUCUGAAAAAGUCAGGAUGCCCUCCCAGUCCAGGCCCUGGAAUCCCUAGCCUGGGCCAUCUAUCAUCUACCACACCUCUUCCUGCCUAGUAGUCAGACCUGCCCACAGGUCUGAAGGUCUAACUUCCUGCUCCCUUAAAUCAAAGCUCUUGUGCCCACAUGCUUGUUCCUGUUACUCAGAUUGAGGGCAUAGCCUUAUCAGAGCCUUCCAGUUAAAAAGUGGUCACCCCACCUUUCUGUAGGAAUCUGAAGUCACUCAUCUGGAAUCUUCUAGAGGGCCGUUCCCCAUCCUUCUGGGAUGUGCCAUUGGCUCCUACUGCUGGCCUUUUGUCCCAUCUCCUGAAGCCAUUCCUGAAAUUCCUACCCCCUUGUUAGAACCUGCCAUGGGAGUAUGGAAAAAAAGUUCUAGCACUUA